AUGAGCCAGUUGCCCCAUUGUGAAGGAACAGCAGGUUUUUGUCAAGCUGUGUCACUGUGGUUCAUCUUCGGAGGAGGGACCCAGCUGACUGUCACAGGUCAGCCAACAGUACCUCCAACAGUGAACGUCUUCCCACCAUCCCAAGCAGAACUGAGGAGCUCAGACAAAGCCACCUUGGUGUGUCUCAUAGAUGGCUUUUACCCGGGUUCCGCCCAAGUUACCUGGCUGGCUGACGGCACCACCAUCUCCUCUGGAGUGGAGACAACCAAGCCCACCAAGCUGAAUGACAAGUACGCAGCCAGCAGCUACCUCAGCAUGAGAAAGUCUGAUUGGGAGAGCUAUGACACAGUCACCUGCAAAGUGGCGCAUGAAGGGAAGACCUUUGAGAAGCAAGUGAGGAGAUCGGAGUGUGCCUAGAGGCUGGAUGGGUCUGCUGAGUUCCUCAUGCCUCCAGCAGCUGAGAAGAAAGAGUCCUUUCAUGUUCAAGGGGGCCGAGUUUAUUCUCUGAUUUCCUCUAAUGCUACAUUGAUCCAUCAAGUUUGGUUUCCUUCCUAUGUCGUUCCCCUCCCCACAUCUCCUCCCUUCCUCUUCUCCCUGGAAUCUCCUUUGUAUGUUGGCUUAUAAUGUUUGCAAAUUAAUAAAAUGUCUACAUUUCA
Lacerta agilis (Sand lizard) is the source of this 656-nucleotide non-coding RNA. The record is from the annotation of a RefSeq genome assembly. NCBI's taxonomy places the organism in Eukaryota, Metazoa, Chordata, Lepidosauria, Squamata, Lacertidae.